ACGUGCCCAGUCGUGGGGGAUAACUACGCGAAAGCGUAGCUAAUACCGCAUACGAUCUAUGGAUGAAAGCGGGGGAUCGCAAGACCUCGCGCGAUUGGAGCGGCCGAUGGCAGAUUAGGUAGUUGGUGGGGUAAAGGCUCACCAAGCCGACGAUCUGUAGCUGGUCUGAGAGGACGACCAGCCACACUGGGACUGAGACACGGCCCAGACUCCUACGGGAGGCAGCAGUGGGGAAUUUUGGACAAUGGGCGCAAGCCUGAUCCAGCCAUGCCGCGUGCAGGAUGAAGGCCUUCGGGUUGUAAACUGCUUUUGUACGGAACGAAAAGUCUCUUUCUAAUAGAGAGGGAUCAUGACGGUACCGUAAGAAUAAGCACCGGCUAACUACNUGCCANCAGCCGCGGUAAUACGUAGGGUGCAAGCGUUAAUCGGAAUUACUGGGCGUAAAGCGUGCGCAGGCGGUGAUGUAAGACAGUUGUGAAAUCCCCGGGCUCAACCUGGGAACUGCAUCUGUGACUGCAUCGCUGGAGUGCGGCAGAGGGGGAUGGAAUUCCGCGUGUA
RNAcentral lists this ribosomal RNA (558 nucleotides) under uncultured Xenophilus sp. RNAcentral describes it as "bacterial SSU rRNA". It matches the Rfam family "Bacterial small subunit ribosomal RNA", at positions 124 to 677 of the family's 1533-position model. Lineage: Bacteria; Pseudomonadati; Pseudomonadota; Betaproteobacteria; Burkholderiales; Comamonadaceae. The record is from RNAcentral.